Molecule: ribosomal RNA, 471 nt
Filed under: uncultured bacterium
Lineage: Bacteria
Description: bacterial SSU rRNA
Rfam family: Bacterial small subunit ribosomal RNA
Source: RNAcentral
UGGGGAAUUUUCGCAAUGGGUGCAAGCCUGACGAAGCAACGCCGCGUGGAGGAUGAAGGUCUUCGGAUUGUAAACUCCUGUCGACCGGGACGAAUGCACCCGACCUAAUACGUCGAAGUGUUGACGGUACCGGUGGAGGAAGCCACGGCUAACUCUGUGCCAGCAGCCGCGGUAAUACAGAGGUGGCAAGCGUUGUUCGGAAUUACUGGGCGUAAAGGGCGCGUAGGCGGCCUUAUAAGUCUCGUGUGAAAGCCCUCGGCUUAACUGAGGAUCUGCACGGGAUACUGUAAGGCUCGAGUUCGGGAGAGGAAAGCGGAAUUCCGGGUGUAGCGGUGAAAUGCGUAGAUAUCCGGAGGAACACCAGUGGCGAAGGCGGCUUUCUGGACCGACACUGACGCUGAGGCGCGAAAGCUAGGGGAGCAAACGGGAUUAGAUACCCUUGUAGUCCCUGAGCGGGCUGGCAAGGCGCAU